AAUCCUAUGACAUUCCUACAAACCAAAGGAGGCCUCAAACUGACAGCACGAACCUCAGACACUUAUAGGCUGACAAAACAGUCUGGAUCAACUGUCAUCGGAAUCCCUGAAUAACAGCUAGGCCUCUUUUGGUUCAUAGGAUAGGAUUAUCAUAGGAAUAGAAAUCUUAUAGGAAAUAAGAUGACAUGUAUCUCAAAUCCUAUAAGUAGAAAUAGGAAACAAGAUGUCAUUUGGUUGACAUCAAAGGAAAUUUUCCAUUGAGUCUAGGCUCUUUUUUAUUUUCCUAUGAAAUGUGGAGGAUAGGAACCAAUCCUAUGUAAGAAUAGGAAUCCAUUCCUAUGAACCAAAUGGCUCUAAAGGAAAAAAUCCUAUAAAAAUCCUAUCCUCUAGAAUUCCUAUGAAAUUCCUCUAAACCAAAGAAGGCCCUAGUAUGUCAACCCCUGAAUUACAGCUAGUAUGCAAGACAACAAAGGGAAACAAACCAAUUUGCAGCAAUAAAAAGAAAGCCAUCACAUUCAACAGAAGCAAAUCGACCAA
This 537-nucleotide long non-coding RNA is filed under the name Triticum aestivum (bread wheat). Its description in RNAcentral is "long non-coding RNA (TAES_LNC026144)". Lineage: Eukaryota; Viridiplantae; Streptophyta; Magnoliopsida; Poales; Poaceae. The record is from RNAcentral.